AGAGAGAGAGAGAGAGAGAGAUAUGGAUAACUUGCAGUAGCAUGCAUGCAGGCUCCUUACAAUGUUCCCUGGCCUUGUAUAUCCUUCACGUUGCCGUUGAGUGUUAACCCAAAUUGGGUGUGAGGGAGAUAUGCCCACUGCAGAAAUAAAUUGUCAGUUCUUUUUUCUUAUUUAAUUUCUUCAACUCAUGCAUGCAUGCAAUAGAAACCAAGAUGUCAACUCUUGAUCACUGAUAUCCAAAAUCGAUCUAAUUAAAAUUGGCACUCAAGAGUAAUAAUUUUGAAUAUAACAUAUCGAUUAGAUGAGUGCACCCUUAAUAUCAAAUUGAAAAGAGAUUUAAUUUUGAUUUACAUUUAUAAAUUGAUUUGACAAUACCAUUAAUCAUAUAGACUAUAAGAGAAUGUUUUUAAGUUAAUAAAUUAUUUAAGUCAUAUUUUAAAAUAAACCUAUAAGAUAUAGUACUAUUGAAAAUACGGACUAUAAAAAGGAGGAUUUUUCUUAUCUAAACUCAGUCCUGAUAAUUAUACGGUGAGACUCACCUAUUAAAUAAAUGAGUCUUACAUAUUUAUAUAUUAGGUUUAUAACAUAUUAGAUUUAGGCAAGAAUUUCCCCUAUAAAUAAAAAUCAGUGUCUUCCAACUUACAUUUUUGGCAGCAGUGCUGAAAGCUUCUUUAUGGCUAAUGUUAGGAUUAUUUGCCUUUAACCUUCGAAUUUCCUCCCUUGAAAAAAAUGUAUAUAUAUAUAAAAGUGCAUAGCAUUGAUAUUAUGUGCAGUGGCAGGCAUGAACAAUAGUGCUUUGCAAACAAAUCAAGAAUUAAUUAAAAUAAAUAAUACUCACUUGAUAAAUUUAUUGUAUGCUGAAGGAGCACGUUGUCUUUUCCCCUUUGCAGCAUGCACCGAAAGUGUUUUGGGAUGUUCGUUUUCUGAUGAAGAAUCUGAUGCUGAAACUUCAUUGGACUUGGAAGACCUAGAAUCCUCACUUAAAUAUUGAUAAAAUAUAUUUUGCUUCUGCAAAAAUUCCAUAAUUAAAACAAAAAAAGAAAUUUAAGAGCUUUAUUAAUUCAAAUUAUGACUAAGCACUGAUCUUCUCACAUGAACAUUUUGCAGAUGAUGAGUAUUCUGUGGCAAAGCGCCUGUGUACAAAGACAACAAAUUAGAACAAUGCCCACAUUUGACAGUCACAGCAUUGAACGUGAUAUUGCCUGGAACAUUCACCUGGAAGAAAAGAUUAUCCAAAUAUGAAAAUAAGAAUGAGUUUGCAAAUGGAACUUACAUGAAAAUGGGAGAUUCUUGAUGAGCAAAUGGGAGAUUUUAUAUGUAGCACAUGUGACAAUAUGCAAAAGUGUAAACUAACAUUGUAGCCUUGUUCAUGAAAAUGGAAAACUGGUAGCAUAUGGCAGGUUUCUAAUAGAGUAAUUAUUGAACAUUUGAAUUGCCAAAUAAUUUAUGAUUAUUAUUUUUCUUAGAAGACAAAUUCAAAUUCAUCCUCCUUUCAAUUGAAACACAGCCAAAUGUAUCUAACAGAAUUUGUAUCAAUUUCAACAUUUCCAGUGCGCCUGACACCUUCUGCAGUGAAACUGUAAAAGUGGGGGGAAAGAUCGAAAGCGAGAGAGAGAAGAAAACGACAUGACAAAAACCAGGAAGCAGCUGUAAGCACGGCUCUGGAACAAGGCCAUGAAGAAAAGAUAGAGAGAUGAAUCCAUGAAAAGAUUUGCCUCCCUUGUUUCAGUCUGUAAUCAAAUCUUUGUCACUGAUUUUCUUAAAGUAAGAAAACAAAGUAUAUAUAUCCGUACCCCAAGAUCGAUAAAAGAGGAUUUGGUUAUCAAACUUUGUUAAGCGAAGAUAAAGCUAAAGGUUGGUUUAAGUUUUCUUCACAAGGAUAGCUAGUAGGAGCUCUAACCAAAACCAGGGGAAAAAAAAAAAUUCCCUGCUGUUAUACACUUAAGGGUUUUAGAUGGUUUUCUUGUUUUAGGGCUGUAUCAGUUAAUCUUUUAGUAAAGCUUUCAAGCUGGCACCAAUCAAGAGAGAGAGAGAGAGAGAGAAUACAGAGAAGGUAUUUCUUGUGUUAAUGAUUGUUUGAUGGACUCAUUACAAUCUCAAGCUUUAUACAAGAAUUACAUUUUCCCGCCACCCUCUGUUAUACAAUUAGCGGCAGCUGCAACCAAUCUCCAAUUCACCAACUGCGCUCUUUGAGUAUUAUUGACUCAGCUAUCACACACAUCACAGCUCACACAGCCACAACAAUACUUUUACAUGAAUAUCUCUGUUAAGGCUCGCUCCAUAUUCAGAUACUGUUUGAACCAAAUGGAUCAUAAUUUGGAUGAAGCACCAGAGAGUGCAUGACUGACCAACUCCCGCCUGAGGAUCUUCCCUCCAGGAGAUUUUGGAAUAGAGUUGAUAAAACCUACUCGCCUUAUCUUCUUGUACGGUGCAACCUUUUUUGCAAUGAAAUCCAUAACUUGAGCCUCAGUGAUACUGCUUCCAGGUUUUCUCACAACAUAGGCCAUGGGAAUUUGUCCUGCCUCUUCAUCAGGGUACCUGCUUCCAGAUAACACAAAAUGAGAGAACCUGUUCUCUCUUCAAAAGGAAACAAAAUAUGCAUAACAGCAAUGAAAUUCCAUAAACAUGCUAAUACACCAUGAAAACUGCGACUAGUGCUCUUCCAUAUUCUUGGCCCCCCCAAACCAUUGACCCUCUGUAUAACUAGUUUCCAUGCUUUUGGCCCUCCAUCUUAUUGACUUUAAAUAUGGUAAACAAUCUUGCUAUUUAUUUCUAACCAUUCGCCAAGAUAGGAAAAUAUGGAUUACUCCCUAGAUAAUUAUUAGUUAAAACUGUCAUAACAAGCUCUCCAAAAUUCAGAAUUUACAGGUUUAGACAAUUUUUAUCUAAUCCCACUAGGAAAACAUUAAACGGUUUCAACAAGCAAAUCAUCUUUAUUGGGAUUCUCAACAGAUGAAUCUCUUUCACUUUAAUCACAUUUCAAGUUAUUGAAUUGGCUAAGAACAUCUUGUCAAUUUAUUGAUCCAGCAAAGGUGAAGCAAAAGCAAGAAUGAAGGUAGCAAACAAAAAAUGUGAAGAAACUGUACGUAUGCCUCCUAUGCUGUAUAUUGCCCAACAAAUUCAGAGAACUACAGAAGAAUCUAUGCCUUAAGAGCAGUACUAUACUACUAAACACUAACAUUAUUUUGUAUUUUUCAAUUGGGCCCUAUGCAUAUCAGUUUCUCGUAUUUAGAUAAAUAAUCUUCCUUCUUCACAAAGAUGACAAUAUGAGGAGAUAUCCAUGAAAGAGAACCUUGGUAAAUAGAUUAGUUGCAUAGAACUGAUAGAAGCGUGAGCAACUUCCUAUCAAAUUUUGCAAGGAUACAGAAAACUAUGAAAUAGAAAUAAAAUGCAAGUAUGAUGUUUUCAGCAUGUGCAGCAGAUAAAAUGGCUAGACACUCACGGAACUACAGCAGCAUCAGCAAUUUCAGGAUUGGAUUGUAACAGUUGUUCCAAUUCAGCUGGAGGCACCUGAUAUGCUUUGUAUUUUAUCAGUUCCUUUAACCUAUCAACAACAUAGAGGAAACCCUGAGAGUCAAAAUAACAAAGAUCCCCAGUCUUUAACCAACCCCCCGAAUCCAAGGUUUCAGCAGUUGCCUUCUCAUCUCCUACAUAACCUUUCAUGAUAGUUGGCCCUCGCAACCACAGCUCCCCUCUCUGGCCAGCAGGCAAAGCCUCUCCAGUUACAGGAUCAACAAUCUUAGCUUCCAUAUUUUCGGCCAGGCGACCAACAGAGCCAAGCAUCUUGCACUCUUCAGGAUCUGUCAUCCUUGUCGCCCCACCUCCAGUUUCAGUCAACCCAUAUCCCUGGACAAUUUCCACCUGUGGGAAUUUUUCCUUGAAUCUAUCGGCGACCUCCUUACCCAGAGGUGCACCGCCGCAUCCCAGCAACAACAACGAGCUCAAAUCAUACUUUUUGGUCAAUUCCGAUUUCACAAACGCCACAAUCAGCGGCGGCGAAACCGGCAUGUAAUUGACCUUGUACUUCUCCACGACUCUCAACAUUCCUUCAAAAUCAAACCUCUCCAUCAAGACCACCGUCUCCCCCAGCGCAGCAGCAGUUAACAACAUAAUGAAUCCAAAAACGUGAAACAUUGGCAGCGUAAAAAGUGAUACUAGGUGAGGUUCCGGUUCAUUCGGGUCUACCCUGUUGUUGUGAAGGACCCCAGAGAUUAAGGCGAUCAGGUUCCGGUGAGUCAAAGAUACGCCUUUGACCCUCCCGGUUGUUCCUGAGGAGUAGAGAAUUGCAGCGGUGUCAGACUGUUUGACCUCAAGUCGGUUGACUCGGUCAUGGGUGGUGGCAUUUGAUAGGGUCAACAGCGAGAUGAACUCAGGCGAGUCGAUGAGGAUGGUUCCGAA
RNAcentral lists this unclassified non-coding RNA (4398 nucleotides) under Hevea brasiliensis (rubber tree). Lineage: Eukaryota; Viridiplantae; Streptophyta; Magnoliopsida; Malpighiales; Euphorbiaceae. The record is from RNAcentral.